RNAcentral lists this long non-coding RNA (1055 nucleotides) under Callithrix jacchus (white-tufted-ear marmoset). RNAcentral describes it as "lncRNA (ENSCJAG00000064807.2)". The record is from RNAcentral. Lineage: Eukaryota; Metazoa; Chordata; Mammalia; Primates; Cebidae.
CUCACUGCAACCUCUGCCUCCCAGGUUCAAAUAAUUCUCCUGCCUCAGCCUCCUGAGUAGCUGGGACUAUGGCUGCAUAUCACCAUGCCUGGCUAAUUUUUGUAUUUUUAGUAGAGAUGGGGUUUCACUAUGUUGACCAGGCUGGUCUUGAACUCCUGACCUUGUGAUCUACCUGGUUCAGCCUCCCAAAGUUCUGGGAUUACAGGAGUGAGCCACCAUGUCUGGCCUGAAUGUCUUUCUUCUACUUGUUCAAUUCUAUUGGUGAGACUUUCUAGAGCAUUUUGCAUUUCUAAAACUGUGUCCAAAAUUUUCUAAUUUUUUUUGUUUUUAAUAUAAGUUAUCUAUUUCCGCAAAUAAUUCUUUCUUCACUUUUUGCAUAAUUUUUUGGAUUUCCUUGCAUUGGGCUUUGCCUUUUACUAGUCCCUCCCUGAUUAGCUUAAUAACUAACCUCCUGAAUUCUUUUUCAGGUAAAUCAGGGAUUUCUUCUUGGUUUGGAUGCAUUGCUGGUGAACUAAAUGAUUUUUUUGGGGUGUUGAAGAGUCUUGUUUUGUUGUAUUACCAAGGUCCUACUUUCAGAAAAUAUAAAGAAAGCAAGGAAGGCAUGAGGAACAAAUGGAAAGGAUGAUAGAUUAGAACUUUUAACCGAAGCAAGCAGACAGAUUUGAAAUGCCAACGUGAACUGUGAGACAGACCUAGAAUGGGUUACGUGACUGCAACCAACGUAGAAAGACUGCACCAGCAGAAAUGGGGAAGGCUCCCACCAGAUUUCUUCAUGAACUCAAUGUGUGCUUCCUGUAGUUGACCCAUAGGUGUGGGGUGGUGGUGGUGGGGUCAAUCUUAAGCAUCACAAAGAGUGUAAAAUAUCUCAUGUUAAUUUUUAUAUUGGUUACUCAUUUAAAUGACAGUUUUGUAUAUCUUGAGUUAAAUAAAAUGCAUUAUUAAAAUUAAUUUCACUUGUUUGUUUUUUACAUUUUUAACGUGGGUACUAGAAAAUGUGAAACUAACCAUGUUGUUAGCAUUUGCUGCUUGCAUUGCAUUUCUAUUGAACAUUACUA